GCGCGGUUUUAUUUCAAAAUUUUCCACUCUCUGAAAUCCCGAAUUUUUUUCCCUAAAAUUAAUAUCCUCGAAACACUCCCAAUCUCACCCCUCCAUUUCUCUUUUUAAUCAAAAAAACUCUCCAGCAGCAGUCUUGAUUUGAUUUCCAGUUAGACUCUGAAAUAGAAGAGUUGGCAGUGAACCAGACGGCAGCGUUGAAGGUGGGGUUGUGUCUAUUGGCAUUUCAUGGAAGGACUGCAAUACAAUAGCCUCGAUCUCGUAACUCCAAAGCCUUCCUAUUUGCUACCAGUUUUGGUAGUUUCAAGAAGCUUAUUUUUUGCUUUAUUCCUCAGACGAAGUCAUCAGUCUCACAAAGGAAGAAAUUUCAACUUGUUUUUUACGUCUAAACGAAAAAAUAAUGCCUAACAUUGUUUCAGAGCACUUGCUGCGAAGAGGAACAGGUAUCAAAGACAGAAGUCAUUGAUGCUGCUUGAAAUGGAGAGUCAGCACGCCAAGGGGUUACCAUCAGUUCCCCUCAACCCCCAUUAGUAGUCAAACAGCCAGCUUUGGAAAGGCGACAUUACUGGUUUUCAUAGUUUUCCACUCACACAUGAAGAGGAUAUAUAUAUAGAUUAGAGGGGGCGCAUGCAAAUGAAAUGCAGUGCAGUUAUAUAGGGAAUACAAUAAAAUAAAACACGUGAAUGAAUUUCUAUACUGAAAAAGGAAAGAAAAAGACAAAAAAACCAAGAGUUGGUGGAUUUGGAUUUGACCAACGAAAUAGGGCCUUAGAAAGUCGCAUUCGCUGUUGAAAUGCAUUGUAUCUCAAUUCGCCUUAUAGUUUUUCCCAUUGAUCAACAAAAGGGUAUAAGGAGGUCAGUGUAUGUGUUAAUCAUAACCCUUUUUUUUGUGUGUGUGUGACAUUUGGUGAGCAAUGCAAUGCAUGGGGUUAUAAAUAUCCACACUUGGAUUAUGUAAAUGAGACCACUAAUUUAUUGCCAAGAGGUCCAGGUUGAUUCUACUUAA
Gossypium arboreum is the source of this 1002-nucleotide long non-coding RNA. RefSeq lists it as uncharacterized. The record is from RefSeq and is a predicted model, not a curated record. The transcript has 2 exons. Lineage: Eukaryota; Viridiplantae; Streptophyta; Magnoliopsida; Malvales; Malvaceae.